This 253-nucleotide ribosomal RNA is filed under the name uncultured bacterium. Its description in RNAcentral is "partial 16S ribosomal RNA". It matches the Rfam family "Bacterial small subunit ribosomal RNA", at positions 524 to 776 of the family's 1533-position model. The record is from RNAcentral.
UACGUAGGGUCCGAGCGUUGUUCGGAAUUACUGGGCGUAAAGGGCGCGUAGGCGGCCUUCUAAGUCGAACGUGAAAUCCCUGGGCUCAACCCAGGAACUGCGUCCGAUACUGGAAGGCUUGAAUCCGGGAGAGGGAUGCGGAAUUCCAGGUGUAGCGGUGAAAUGCGUAGAUAUCUGGAGGAACACCGGUGGCGAAGGCGGCAUCCUGGACCGGUAUUGACGCUGAGGCGCGAAAGCCAGGGGAGCAAACGGG